CUCAUCCUUCAUCUUGAAGGCUUCCUUUGCUCGGGCAUAUCCUUCGGCCCGAGCCAGCAAAUCAGUGAAGUCUCUGGGAUACUUCUUUAUCAGGAAAAAUAGAAGAUCGUUCUUUUGAAGAUCGAUCUUUAGGGCGGCUAUUGCAACUGAUUGGUUCAAGUUUCGGACCUCUAAUACGGCGGCAUUAAAACGGUUGACGUAAAUUCGGAUGGAUUCUUCCUCCU
Molecule: long non-coding RNA, 224 nt
Filed under: Elaeis guineensis (African oil palm)
Lineage: Eukaryota; Viridiplantae; Streptophyta; Magnoliopsida; Arecales; Arecaceae
Description: long non-coding RNA (EGUI_LNC022053)
Source: RNAcentral